AGGGAUGUAGCUUAAUGGAAGAGUGCUUGCCUAGCAUGCAUGAGGCCCUGGGUUCCAUCUCCAGUAUCACCA
Molecule: transfer RNA, 72 nt
Filed under: Fukomys damarensis (Damara mole-rat)
Lineage: Eukaryota; Metazoa; Chordata; Mammalia; Rodentia; Bathyergidae
Rfam family: tRNA
About the family: Transfer RNA (tRNA) molecules are approximately 80 nucleotides in length.
Source: Rfam by way of RNAcentral